UGUGGUUAGCGGUGAAAUGCCAAUCGAACUCGGAGAUAGCUGGUUCUCCUCGAAACAGUUUUAGGACUGGCGUCAUGUAGUAGCAGUCGGGGGUAGAGCUCUGUAAAGGACUGGGGCUGGCAACGGUACCCACCCUUAACAAACUACGAAUACCGAUUGUGGAAUCAUGGCAGUUAGAACGGCGGAGCUAAGUUCGUCGCUCAAAAGGGAAACAGCCCAGACCAUCGUCUAAGGUCCCUAAAUUUACGUUAAGUGGGAAACAAGGUGAGAUUUCUUAAACAGCUAGGAUGUUGGCUUAGAAGCAGCCAUUCAUUUAAAGAGUGCGUAACAGCUCACUAGUCAAGAGAUUUUGCGUGGAAAAUGUAACGGGGCUAAAGUGUUAAACCGAAGACAUGGACUUCUGCCUAUGCAGGAGUGGUAGAGGAGCGUUGAUAUCGCAGUGAAGUCAGAUUGGAAAGUCUGGUGGAGCGUUAUCAAGUGAGAAUGCUGGAAUUAGUAACCUUAAGACAGGUGAGAAUCCUGUCGGUCGUAAGAGCAAGGUUUCCAGGGCUACAGUAAUUGCCCCUGGGUUAGUCGGUCCUAAGCCGAGGCGUAUCAGCGUAGGCGAUGGACAACAGGUUAAUAUUCCUGUACAGGUAGUAGUUGUGAACAGUUCACGGUGAAUGACUGGAGCGGAUUAAUGGUUUAUCCGUCCAAGUCUUUAGGGAACUAAAGAUGAGUGAAAGGUAAUCUUCGGAUUAUUGAUUCUGGGUGAAGCACUGGCUAGAAAAGCUGGUUCACUUAUGCUGCUGCCUACCGUACCGCAAACCAACACCGGUGCUCGGGUCGAGUAGACCAAGACCUACGUGAGAACCUUCGCUAAGGAACUCGGCAAAAAAGCGUCCGUAACUUCGGAAUAAGGACUGCCCUCUCAUUAAGAUGAGGAUUUGCUAGAAACUCAGCAGAAGAUUCAGAUUACCUUUUAACUGAAUUUUUCGUUGAGACAGAACACAAAACAGGAUUUGUUUAACAAAUUCGUGUCUUUUCUAGUAGUCUAAUCGUCAUUUUGAUGAGAGGGCCGCAGCUAAAGAGCCCACGGAACUGUUUACCAAAAACAUAGGUCUCUGCUAACGCGAAAGCGGAUGUAUAGGGGCUGACUCCUGCCCGGUGUCGGAAGGUUAAGGGGAGAGCUUUACGGUUCGAACUGAAGCCCCGAUGAACGGCGGCGAUAACUAUGAUCGUCCUAAGGUAGCGAAAUUCCUUGUCUGGUAAGUUCAGACCCGCACGAAUGGAGUAAUCAUGUGGGCACUGUCUCGGCGAAGGCCACGGUGAACGUGCAUUGGCGGUAAAGAUGCCGUCUGAUCAUGCCAGGACGAGAAGACCCCAUGGAGCUUUACUACAACUUUGCAUUGAUUAUUGGGACAUUUUGUGUAGAAUAGGUGGAAGACUUUGAAGCAGAUACGCUAGUAUUUGUGGAGUCGAAAUAUGAAAUACCACCCUGAAUGUUUUAGUAAUCUCACUUUUGACCUGAUCGGCCAAAAGGACCGUGCAUGGCGGGUAGUUUAACUGGGGCGGUUGCCUCCUAAAGAGUAGCGGAGGCGUUCAAAGGU
Molecule: ribosomal RNA, 1589 nt
Filed under: human oral metagenome
Description: bacterial LSU rRNA
Rfam family: Bacterial large subunit ribosomal RNA
Source: RNAcentral